GACGAACGCUGGCGGCAUGCCUAAUACAUGCAAGUCGAGCGAACAGAUGGAGUGCUUGCACUUCUGACGUUAGCGGCGAACGGGUGAGUAACACGUAAGGAAUCUACCUAUAAGCGGGGGAUAACAUUCGGAAACGGGUGCUAAUACCGCAUAAUAUCUUCUUCCGCAUGGAAGAAGAUUGAAAGACGGCUCUGCUGUCACUUAUAGAUGACCUUGCGUUGCAUUAGUUAGUUGGUGGGGUAACGGCCUACCAAGACGAUGAUGCAUAGCCGACCUGAGAGGGGGAUCGACCACAUUGGGACUGAGACACGGCCCAAACUCCUACGGGAGGCAGCAGUAGGGAAUCUUCCGCAAUGGGCGAAAGCCUGACGGAGCAAUGCCGCGUGAGUGAAGAAGGCCUUCGGGUCGUAAAACUCUGUUAUAAGAGAAGAACAAAUUGUAGAGUAACUGCUAUAGUCUUGACGGUAUCUUAUCAGAAAGCCACGGCUAACUACGUGCCAGCCGCCGCAGUAA
This 513-nucleotide ribosomal RNA is filed under the name uncultured bacterium. RNAcentral describes it as "partial 16S ribosomal RNA". It matches the Rfam family "Bacterial small subunit ribosomal RNA", at positions 28 to 523 of the family's 1533-position model. The record is from RNAcentral.